Molecule: unclassified non-coding RNA, 2120 nt
Filed under: Leishmania donovani
Lineage: Eukaryota; Euglenozoa; Kinetoplastea; Trypanosomatida; Trypanosomatidae
Description: gene:LdHU3.24.2180(CDS-product:hypothetical_prote in_conserved)
Source: RNAcentral
UAGUCCGUCCUCGAUGGGCUUAGCGGGGUGUAACCACUCCUAUCCCUCGUCCAUGCAUGUGUUUGGUUCGUGACGGAGUGUUCUAGAGGCGACACGCAUCGGCAAGAGACGGUGCUGAUAGGCAAGCGCACGCGAGCCAUCGCGAGUGGGUCCAUCAAGCGUGCUGCUGCACAGGGCAGGACACGGCUUCUCCCCCUCCCUCGUUCAUUUUUCUUUUCUGUUCGGUACUACUCUGUGUAUUGUUGGUUGUGGCACUAACAGCUCUGUCGCUCACUUUCUUUCCCUUGCAGCGCCAACAAGCGUACACGUGCCUCAUCUCUUCCCUCCUCCGACCAACCCACCCACCUGCCCUUGCUCUUUCUGAGUCGGUGGGCAGCUCUAGUGAUCUGCUCGCGCACCGUUCACGAUGCCGCCGGCGAACGGCUCUGUCAAGGAUGACCCGGUGGCCUUCGAGCAAUCGGGCAUCACUGGCCGCGACAAGGUGCGCGAGCAUGGCAUCCCAUACACCAGCCCCGGUGGCGGCGAGGUGUACCGCGACGGCACCGUGAGCGGCUUUGUACGCUCCAUCUACGAGUACCUCGUCGAUGAGCACCACCGGCCGAGCUACUCGUCCACCAUGAUCCGAGGUCCCGACCUGCACACCCGCCCGCCGGCGUGGCUGGAAGACAAGAACACGGCCAUCGAUGGCUCGCCGCUGACGUCUGUGGAGCGCAACGCGCCUGGGUACUGGUCUACGGUGUACAAAAAAGAGCUCGAGGUGGCGGAGGCCAUUCAAGAGGUGAAGCGGCAGCGUCGAUAUGAGCAAGACAACGACCUGGUCGGCUUCAUAAACCGCGCACGACGGUACUUUGGCCUCUCUCCCCAACUCGACGAGGCGGCGGCGAGGAGCCAAGUCGAGUCCCGCCACCGCCUAGAGGACGAGGCGCGGCGGCUGCGCGCAUCCACAGCGCCGGGAGCCUCAAAUGACGAAGUGGCGCAAGGGGAGGAGGACUGUGGUGCGUCGUCGUCGCCACAUCCAAUCGGCACGCUGCCCCGAAACGGAACUACUGAGCUCUUGGCAAACGUGCCACAGCAGCGCCGGAGCGAGAACGGCGGAAAUGGCGUGCGGCACACGGGUGGGGUGCUGACAGCGCCGUGGUUGGCGUUGCUGGAGUCUAUUGAGACAGGUCGGCCCCUCGCAAGAGUGGCGAACGAGUACCGGCCUCGCGUUGACUACUACGGCCUCGACCCAUUCCUCGACUCGGCACCGUCUGUGGUGUGGUUCAGCACGAAGUGCGGCAUCGCCAUCGGUCUCGCCCACGGCACCGCAAAGGCCGUGCAGGCGAUGAACGUGGAUGUGCAGUUCCUGAAGGCGUCGGGGGUCGGCGUGCUGUCGAUCCUAAACAUGUCUGUCUUCGCCAGUGUCGUGAAGUGGGGUGGUAACACGGCCAUCUUCGCGUGCGCCUUCUGCGUCGGCGACCGACUGAUGCGGUGGAUCAAGUCGUACACGCUGCCGCCGCACGAUGCGCAGUGCCGCUCCACAUCGAACUACGUGAUGGGUCUCUCCUUCUCUGGAGCCAUGGUGGGUGUGCUGCCGUGGUGGGUGUUAAACGACACGGGGUUGGCAAUGCGCAUGGCGGCGUCAGGGCUCGCCGUCGGUGGGGCUCUGGGGCUGAUGGUGGGCCUGAGCGUCCAACAGCUUGUGGCUCUGAACACGGCGCGGCUGGACGCAAACAACCGGCAACUGCGUCGUUACGAGGCCCUGUUGGCUCGCCAGCGAGAGUGGGCGGAGCAGGUUCGGAGCAAGUACACUAGUUCCACGUACGUCUGGUGGUAAGAGAGAGGGGGGGAGUGUGUGAUGGAAAAGGAGGGGUCGGCUCACCGCGCACCUCACGAAAGGCGGUGCGGCAUUUCUCGCGUUUUUUUUACUGUAUCCCUCUGUGCUCAGUUUGGGCCAGGCCGCUCCCGCCAUCGAAGGCGCACUUUCGUGGGCUCGCGUGUGCACUGCGGCACUUGUCAAGCGCGUGUGGAUGUUGGGAAGCGACGGCGCGCAAGUCCUUCACAGGGUGUGUGGUUCUGUUGUGUGGACGGAGACGGAAAAGACCGACUCGUAAACGGGCACUUUGUGAGCCUGCGUGUAC